RNAcentral lists this ribosomal RNA (479 nucleotides) under Listeria monocytogenes. RNAcentral describes it as "bacterial SSU rRNA". It matches the Rfam family "Bacterial small subunit ribosomal RNA", at positions 1 to 467 of the family's 1533-position model. Lineage: Bacteria; Bacillati; Bacillota; Bacilli; Caryophanales; Listeriaceae. The record is from RNAcentral.
UUUAAAGAGAGUUUGAUCCUGGCUCAGGACGAACGCUGGCGGCGUGCCUAAUACAUGCAAGUCGAACGAACGGAGGAAGAGCUUGCUCUUCCAAUGUUAGUGGCGGACGGGUGAGUAACACGUGGGCAACCUGCCUGUAAGUUGGGGAUAACUCCGGGAAACCGGGGCUAAUACCGAAUGAUAAGAUGUGGCGCAUGCCACGCCUUUGAAAGAUGGUUUCGGCUAUCGCUUACAGAUGGGCCCGCGGUGCAUUAGCUAGUUGGUAGGGUAAUGGCCUACCAAGGCAACGAUGCAUAGCCGACCUGAGAGGGUGAUCGGCCACACUGGGACUGAGACACGGCCCAGACUCCUACGGGAGGCAGCAGUAGGGAAUCUUCCGCAAUGGACGAAAGUCUGACGGAGCAACGCCGCGUGUAUGAAGAAGGUUUUCGGAUCGUAAAGUACUGUUGUUAGAGAAGAACAAGGAUAAGAGUAACUGC